UGGGGAAUCUUCCGCAAUGGACGCAAGUCUGACGGAGCAACGCCGCGUGAGUGAAGAAGGUUUUCGGAUCGUAAAACUCUGUUUUCAGGGACGAAUGUGCUAUUUGCUAAUACCAAGUAGUAAUGACGGUACCUGAGUAGAAAGCCACGGCUAACUACGUGCCAGCAGCCGCGGUAAUACGUAGGUGGCAAGCGUUGUCCGGAAUUAUUGGGCGUAAAGCGCGCGCAGGUGGGAUAUUAAGUCUGGUGUUAAAGUUCGGGGCUCAACCCCGUGAAGCAUUUGGAAACUGAUAUUCUUGAGUGCAGGAGAGGAAAGUGGAAUUCCUAGUGUAGCGGUGAAAUGCGUAGAUAUUAGGAGGAACACCAGUGGCGAAGGCGACUUUCUGGACUGUGUCUGACACUGAGGCGCGAAAGCUAGGGAAGUGAACAGG
Molecule: ribosomal RNA, 430 nt
Filed under: uncultured bacterium
Lineage: Bacteria
Description: bacterial SSU rRNA
Rfam family: Bacterial small subunit ribosomal RNA
Source: RNAcentral